Molecule: ribosomal RNA, 439 nt
Filed under: uncultured bacterium
Lineage: Bacteria
Description: partial 16S ribosomal RNA
Rfam family: Bacterial small subunit ribosomal RNA
Source: RNAcentral
CUACGGGCCGCAGCAGUGGGGGAUAUUGCACAAUGGGCGAAAGCCUGAUGCAGCAACGCCGCGUGAAGGAUGACGGAUUUCGGUCUGUAAACUUCUAUCAGCAGGGAAGAAAAUGACGGUACCUGACUAAGAAGCCCUGGCUAACUACGUGCCAGCAGCCGCGGUAAUACGUAGGGGGCAAGCGUUAUCCGGAAUUACUGGGUGUAAAGGGUACGUAGGCGGCUGAUCAAGUCAGAUGUGAAAGCCCGGAGCUCAACUCCGGGAUUGCAUUUGAAACUGGUCGGCUAGAGUGCAGGAGAGGAAAGUGGAAUGCCUAGUGUAGCGGUGAAAUGCGUAGAUAUUAGGAAGAACACCAGUGGCGAAGGCGGCUUUCUGGACUGUAACUGACGCUGAGGUACGAAAGCGUGGGGAGCGAACAGGAUUAGAUACCCGGGUAGUC